GGUCAGGCGCUGUGCAAUUCGUAACCGCCAAACUCCGCCAGGCCCGGAAGGGAGCAACGGUAGGCGGCCUAUGGGUGUGCCGCAGAUUGCUUGACCGGA
RNAcentral lists this signal recognition particle RNA (99 nucleotides) under Spirochaeta lutea. RNAcentral's name for it is "Bacterial small signal recognition particle RNA". It matches the Rfam family "Bacterial small signal recognition particle RNA". Rfam says of the family: The signal recognition particle (SRP) is a universally conserved ribonucleoprotein involved in the co-translational targeting of proteins to membranes. The record is from Rfam by way of RNAcentral. Lineage: Bacteria; Pseudomonadati; Spirochaetota; Spirochaetia; Spirochaetales; Spirochaetaceae.